Molecule: signal recognition particle RNA, 102 nt
Filed under: uncultured Alistipes sp.
Lineage: Bacteria; Pseudomonadati; Bacteroidota; Bacteroidia; Bacteroidales; Rikenellaceae
Description: Bacteroidales small SRP
Rfam family: Bacteroidales small SRP
About the family: The non-coding component of the signal recognition particle in Bacteroides
Source: RNAcentral
CACCCGGGUAAGUCUUAUACGACCAGCUCCCCGAGAAUCCCCCAGGUGUGGAAGCAAGCAAGGGUAUUGGGUUGUAGCGGUGCGAUAUAAGUAGCUUACCCU